This is a long non-coding RNA of Amphibalanus amphitrite, 792 nucleotides long. RefSeq lists it as uncharacterized. The transcript has 2 exons. The record is from RefSeq and is a predicted model, not a curated record. Lineage: Eukaryota; Metazoa; Arthropoda; Thecostraca; Balanomorpha; Balanidae.
CGGUCGGCCCGCGAGACGAGCUGGAAGCGUGGCGGCGGCGGGCGCAGCGCGGUGACACUGCACGGUCUGGUCGAUCCACGGAGCAGAUAGGCCGACAGCGGGGCGGCUCCCACGCGACCGGACCGACCGGCGCGGACCAGGGACCAGCCGAGACCAGAGGAGCCAGCAGAGACUUGAAGACACCAGAGGAGGCCCUUGGAUACGAGAGAGGACCAGAGACCAGCAGCAGGCAGCCAGAACAACAGAACAGCCAGAGGAGUCAAAGCUGUCAGAAAUUAUCCCGCACCGUUGCAAUCGCACCUCAAGAGGUUUCCCGAGCGGUGUGAGCAGCGACUAGACCAGCGGGCGCCCAGCGCCCAGCGCCCUGCGACCAGCGACCAGCGGCAGACCUGCCGGACCAGUUGGCCGAGGCCGGCCAGCCGAGCCCGCGCCCCAGAACCUGUCUGUUGUGUGCGUGCGCGUGGUGGGACAAGGACUGGGCGGUGACGCGGUUCGUCUGAGUGACUGUGGUGACUGUGGUGACCGCAGUGAACCGGCGGUGACUGUAGUGACUGGCAGUGACAAGCGGAGACUAGUGGUGACUCGCAGUGAACAACGGUGAUCAGUAGUGGUCCGCAGCGACUCGCAGCGGCCCGCAUUGAUCUUCAGUGAACAGCGUCAACUAGGAGUGACCGGCAGUGAGCGCGUCGGUGACCUGCAGUGACCUGCAGUGCCCAGGCUGGCUGUGGGCGGCGCAGAGACCGGGCCGGACGCCGCCCGGCCCGGUCUCCUCCGGGAGACGGCGACGGAGAC